Cheilinus undulatus (humphead wrasse) is the source of this 3628-nucleotide RNA transcript. It is a transcript of the gene named caldesmon 1a, with no coding region annotated. NCBI's taxonomy places the organism in Eukaryota, Metazoa, Chordata, Actinopteri, Labriformes, Labridae. The record is from RefSeq and is a predicted model, not a curated record. The transcript is spliced from 16 exons.
CGGGUAUCCAGUUUGGUUUUAUCAUUGAGUGUAGUGGAGGACUGACUGCAGACUGGCUCCCUCUCCUCUCAUACUCGACCCAACAGCUCUACUUUGUCCCGUAAAGAUCCGCAGGGCACAAUCAUGGAGGAAAUGGACUUUGAGCGGCGCCGGGAGCUGAGGAGGCAGAAGCGGGAGGAGAUGCGCCUUGAGGCUGAACGGAUGGCGAGGAAUGAGGACGAUGAAGAGGAGGCGGCCAGAGAGAGGAGGCGCCGGGCACGCCAAGAGAGGCUGAUGAACAGAGAGAGCGAGGAGCACAGCGGACAGCCGGACAGCCUGGUCAUGACCAACAGCCACAGCGUGACCGAAACUGUGACCAGCUCUUACGGAGGACUCGGGGGCGGAGAAGAAGAGGACCAAGCCUUGCAGGAGCGCAUGGCCAAACGCGAGGAGAGGCGGCAGAGACGCAUGAAGGAGGCUCUGGAGAGGCAGAGACAGCUGGACCUGGAGUCCACGACCACAGAGGGCAGCAACAACAACAGCAGCAGCCUCGCCACGGAGAAAAACAGCGCAGAGGAGGAGAGGCCUUCCUCCUGGCGCAGGGGUCGUUACCGUGACAUGGAGGAAGAGGAGGUGAAGACGGAGAGGUACAGCUCCAGGAGAGAGGAGCGAGAGGAGCCGAGGGAGGAGGAGGAGGCUGCUCCUGAGGUUGAGGAGGAAGCAGAUGAGGGUGUAGAGGAAGAGGAGGAGCAGCAAGAGGAAGAGGUGGAGGAGAAAUCAAGGAGGUCUUACAUGAGAGAAAAGGAAUCAUCAGAAGAACCUAAAAGUGAAACUAAGGACCUCGCUGAGGAAGAAACACACUCGAUAGUCAGUGAGAGUUCAAACCAGGCCAAGUCAGCUAAUUCAGAGGCCGUGGAGGAUGCAGUAGCAUCAGAGGAGUCUGGAGAGGUACCUGAAGAUGAUUGUGUAGAUUCAGAGAACAAGUCUGUGGCACUCAGAAAUGAGAGCGAAGAAGACAAAGAGGUAUCUGAGAUACUGCACUCAGAAGAUAAUGAGGUGGAGGAGAGAGGCGGGGCCAGGGACGAGCAGAGGAAGCAGAACGGAGGACUGCACGAGGAGGAGACUCCUAAACAGCACAGGAAACCUGAGAGGACUCUCAGCCGCAGCAGCGUACGUUCCCCCGAGGUGUCCGCGGGUGAAGACCAGGACGAAGACGCCCGCCUGGAGGCAGAGCGCAAGCUGGAGGAGCUGAAGCGCCGCCGUGACGACGCGGAGAGCGAGGAGUUUGAGAGGAUGAGGCAGAAGCAGCAGGAGGCCGAAGCUGAGCUGGAGGAGCUGAAGAGGAAGAGGGAGGAGAGGAGGAAGGUGCUGGAGGAGGAGGAGAGGCAGAAGAAGCAGGAGGAGGCGGAGAGGAAAGCCAGAGAGGAGGAGGAGAAGAGGAAGAUGAAGGAGGAGAUUGAGAGGAGGAGAGCAGAGGCAGCUGAGAAGAGACAGAAGGUGGAGGACUCGAUGGACGGAGAGGAGCAGCCCUUCAAGUGUGUCAGCCCUCGGGGCUCCUCUCUGAAGAUCGGAGAGAGAGCAGAGUUCCUGAACAAGUCUGCACAGAAAAGCACGGUGAAGGCAGCUCAUUCUCCUGUGGUGUCCAAGAUAGACAACAGGCUGGAGCAGUACACUUCAGCCGCUCAGAGAGAGAACAAGGAGUCCCGAUCCCCUCGCUCCGGAGCCGUGGAUCUGCCCCUGGGUACCGACAGCAUACGAAACAUCAAGAGCAUGUGGGAGAAAGGCAACGUCUUCAGCUCGCCUGGAAGUGGCGGGAGCACAUUCAAGGAAGCAGCUGUGAUGAAGACAGGCGUGGCAGGCCGCAUCAACGACUGGCUGAAUAAAACCCCGGAGAGCGGCAAGACGUCAGGAGGAAGGCCAACGGUGCUCCGCCAUUUGUCACAAUGCACUUUAACACUGACAGACGAAUGCAGAGCAGCGAGCAUGGCUGAUAUGAUGCCUUGUUUUCUGUGUCUGUGUGACAGGACCUGAAGCCCGUUGAUGUCACCAACAAGAGGAGUCUAUGGGAAAACAAAGGAGCCUCUCCAACCAAGGUGGCGGGCAGAGGAGAGACCAAAUCAGUUGCUAACGGUAUGGGACAUUAAUGUCUUGAAGGAGCCACUAAAGCAGGGGACCACGACAAUCUGAGAUUCUUCCUUUUGACUCUGGAAAAAACAUAAAGACCACAUUCCCAAGAAGGACCCCGCGGACGGCAGAGACGCUGUCCAAGCACUGUACUGAAACAGCAUCUUUUUUUGUACGGUUGCCACGUAUAGUGCCUUUGCACAAUGAUUUUUCUUUUAUUGCUUUCUAAAAGAAACAAAAUGCUGUGAAAUUGGGACAUUUGUAAUAACUUUACUCUUUUAUAACCUUCCAGAACAAAAAUUAGAUUCAUCUGAGAGUUUUUUAGGUGACAAGUAGAUGAAAUUAAAGCUUCCACAUUCCAUAGAGAUGGGUGAAAUCGGUUCUCUCCCUCAGACAGUACAUCCUCCAUCUCUAUUUUUUAAAAAUAAUUUAUAUUUAAAGCAAAAGCUUCACACAUUCCUAUUUUAUUCAAUGUUCACCAGUUCAGGAUAGAAUUAUAAGCACUUCUAGAAUUUAGCUGAAUUCACUUUUAUUAUGUCUUACCAAUAGUGCAGCAAUGGUCUGAGUAAUAUAUGUUAGCACAUGUGAUGUUUUAAAUACCAUACUGUAUCUUAUAUAACAUCUUUAUACUCAUAACAAAAAUGUUUUUGCUAUUUGUAUCCAGAAACUUUUCACAAACAGGCAGAUGAUGGAGUGUCAAAGAAGGCCAUUAUGACUUUUAUAAUCCACUAUGUCUUUUUUUAUUUAUGUUUUAAUGUCCUUUUAUAUUUCUAGCUGUUUUUUAGCUUUUGUACUCACUUUAAAAUCUUCAGACAUUCCUCAAGCAGUUGCACAAGGUGCCUUGGCUGCUUUAAAGCUGUAGCUUUUUAAUGUAGGAAGCUUCUUUACUGCCUCUAUGCACACUCUUAUGCUUUUAAAUUAAGGCAUUCGAUUUUAAAUCCACAGCAUAUAGCAAGAAACGUAAGGAUAUUUACCACUAUGUAACUCUUCUGGACGUAUGAUUGCAGUAAAAGCCUUUCUGACAGCAGAGGCACAGUCACGAUGGCCUCAAAGCAGCACAGUAUAUUAAGAGUUUCUUCCUCACUGACACGGCCUUAGGCAGCACAUUCCUUCUCAAAGUUUUUGCACAAUGCAAGACGGUUUUCUGGGGCAUUAAAUUGACCAAUGUUUCUGCUCAAAAGUCUGACAAUCACAUUCCACAGCCCCUGAAAAAGAGCAGGGGGGCUUGACCAAAACAUUUUGAAGUGUGAUGUAAUGUGACAUUGUUGUUUUGUAAUACAGUGGUUUCAUAAUGCCGUAUUGUUCUCCCUUUUUUUUACAUCUUUGUGUCCAUUUUAUGUUCCUUUUAUUCCAUGUUUAACCAGACACUUGUUGUUUGUGUAGCGCUAAGCCUAUGCAAAUCACACUAUCUGUAGUCUCUCUAAGCACUCCCAAUGUCACACAAGUGGGCAGUUUCCAACUGGAUGAAUGUUUAAAACAUUGUACCCAUGACUCAACAACAGCAAUAAAGACAUUGAGGUAUUCA